CUAAUCAGCUGUCAAGAGCCAAAGUUUGUUUUCUUAUUUGUUUACAAAUUUGUAUUUGUAUAAAUGUGAUAAGCGCCAUAGUUUCCUAAACCACUCAUGGUUGUGCAUACACGAUACUAAUAAGAUGGAAACUAUGGAACAGAAAUCGAAGAUUUAUCAGUAUAAAAAAAGUUCCCAGUUGGAUUUUGCAAAAAUAAAUCAGCAAAACAACAGAGAAUGAUUUUAGUGGAAAUACACAAAAAUGCCUUGUAAAACCAAACGAUUCACAGAAAAAGAAUCCACGGAACCAAACCCCCGAGCUAGAAGAUCAUUUAGGAACAGUGGAUCCUCACAAAGAUGACAUUCAUAUUCAGGUGAAGAACGAGCCGACUGAAGAUGAUUUCCAAGAAGCAGAUGCCCAGGCUUCAGAUAGUGAAUCUAAUGGCUUCGAAUUGCAAGUAAAAAACGAACUAAUUGAGGAGGAUUUUGAGAAAAAUUAUAGUUAUGGAGUUUCAGUGCCCCGAAUCUUCAAGUGCCCCGAAUGCCCAAAGGAUUUUGUCCAUGCAUCGUACCUGAAAGUCCACAUGCAAAUUCACUCCAAGGAUAAGCCGCACAAGUGUAGCCCACGUUCGUAGUCACCCGGAUGGAGAGCCCCACAAUUGCAAGAAUUGCAAAAGGACUUAUAAUUGGAAGUCCAGUCUCAAAAAUCACCUGCGAUCGCACAUACGGUGCCGCUUAAACUCAUAUUUAUCGGAAGUGGAACCUAG
Long non-coding RNA from Drosophila teissieri, 746 nucleotides. RefSeq lists it as uncharacterized. The record is from RefSeq and is a predicted model, not a curated record. Lineage: Eukaryota; Metazoa; Arthropoda; Insecta; Diptera; Drosophilidae. The transcript is spliced from 3 exons.